GUAGUCCACGCCCUAAACGAUGGGUGCUAAAUGUCGGAACUUUAGUUUCGGUAUUGUAGCUAACGCGUUAAGCACCCCGCCUGGGGAGUACGGUCGCAAGAUUAAAACUCAAAGGAAUUGACGGGGACCCGCACAAGCGGUGGAGCAUGUGGUUUAAUUCGAGGCUACGCGAAAAACCUUACCAGCUCUUGACAUCCUGAUCGCCGCGUUUGUAAUGAACGCUUCAGUUCGGCUGGAUCAGAGACAGGUGCUGCAUGGCUGUCGUCAGCUCGUGUCGUGAGAUGUUGGGUUAAGUCCCGCAACGAGCGCAACCCUCAUCCUUAGUUACCAUCGGGUUAAGCCGGGGACUCUAGGGAAACUGCCAGUGACAAGCUGGA
RNAcentral lists this ribosomal RNA (377 nucleotides) under uncultured bacterium. Its description in RNAcentral is "bacterial SSU rRNA". It matches the Rfam family "Bacterial small subunit ribosomal RNA", at positions 790 to 1167 of the family's 1533-position model. The record is from RNAcentral.